AACCUGAAACCGUGUACGUACAAGCAGUGGGAGCCUCUUUAUGGGGUGACUGCGUACCUUUUGUAUAAUGGGUCAGCGACUUAUAUUCUGUAGCAAGGUUAACCGAAUAGGGGAGCCGAAGGGAAACCGAGUCUUAACUGGGCGUUAAGUUGCAGGGUAUAGACCCGAAACCCGGUGAUCUAGCCAUGGGCAGGUUGAAGGUUGGGUAACACUAACUGGAGGACCGAACCGACUAAUGUUGAAAAAUUAGCGGAUGACUUGUGGCUGGGGGUGAAAGGCCAAUCAAACCGGGAGAUAGCUGGUUCUCCCCGAAAGCUAUUUAGGUAGCGCCUCGUGAAUUCAUCUCCGGGGGUAGAGCACUGUUUCGGCAAGGGGGUCAUCCCGACUUACCAACCCGAUGCAAACUGCGAAUACCGGAGAAUGUUAUCACGGGAGACACACGGCGGGUGCUAACGUCCGUCGUGAAGAGGGAAACAACCCAGACCGCCAGCUAAGGUCCCAAAGUCAUGGUUAAGUGGGAAACGAUGUGGGAAGGCCCAGACAGCCAGGAUGUUGGCUUAGAAGCAGCCAUCAUUUAAAGAAAGCGUAAUAGCUCACUGGUCGAGUCGGCCUGCGCGGAAGAUGUAACGGGGCUAAACCAUGCACCGAAGCUGCGGCAGCGACACUAUGUGUUGUUGGGUAGGGGAGCGUUCUGUAAGCCUGUGAAGGUGUGCUGUGAGGCAUGCUGGAGGUAUCAGAAGUGCGAAUGCUGACAUAAG
This 758-nucleotide ribosomal RNA is filed under the name Shigella dysenteriae. Its description in RNAcentral is "partial 23S ribosomal RNA". It matches the Rfam family "Bacterial large subunit ribosomal RNA", at positions 547 to 1306 of the family's 2925-position model. Lineage: Bacteria; Pseudomonadati; Pseudomonadota; Gammaproteobacteria; Enterobacterales; Enterobacteriaceae. The record is from RNAcentral.